CGGUAAUUCCAGCUCCAAUAGCGUAUACUAAAGUUGUUGCAGUUAAAAAGCUCGUAGUUGGAUUUCUGCGGGGACGGAGCGGCCGGACGCAACUUGCGUCUCGAGCUAGCGCUUUCCCCGCAUCCUGCCGCGAACCGUGCUACCAUUAGCUUGGUGGCGCUGGGGAUCGGCUCGAUUACUUUGAGAAAAAUAGAGUGUUCAAAGCAGGCCACACGCCUUGAAUAAGUUAGCAUGGAAUAAUGACUAAGGACUUCGGUUCUAUUUUGUUGGUGUUCGGGACUGAAGUAAUGAUUGAUAGGGACAGUUGGGGCGGUCUGUAUUCCAAAGCGAGAGGUGAAAUUCUUAGACCUUCGGAAGACAAACAGCUGCGAAAGCGUUCCGCAAGGAUGUUCCCUUUGAUCAAGAACGAAAGUUGGGGGAUCGAAGACGAUCAGAUACCGUCGUAGUCUCAACUAUAAACUAUACCAGCUAGGGAUCGGUCAACGUUUAAUCAUUCGACUUGAUCGGCACCUUAUGAGAAAUCAAAGCAUCUGGGUUCCGGGGGGAGUAUGGUCGCAAGGCUGAAACUUAAAGGAAUUGACGGAAGGGCACCACCAGCCGUGGAGCCUGUGGCUUAAUUUGACUCAACACGGGAAAACUUACCAGGUCCAGACAUAGUAAGGAUUGACAGAUUGAUAGCUCUUUCUUGAUCCUGUGGGUGGUGGUGCAUGGCCGUUCUUAGUUGGUGGAGUGAUUUGUCUGGUUAAUUCCGUUAACGAACGAGACCCCAGCCUGCUAAAUAGCGCGGCUGAGCUUUGCUCGGUGCGAGCUUCUUAGAGGGACUAUGAUGCGCGAUAGCACAUGGAAGUUUGGGGCAAUAACAGGUCUGUGAUGCCCUUAGAUGUUCUGGGCCGCACACGGGCUACACUGGCGCCUGCAACGAGCAUAUCAGCUGGCCCGAGAGGGUCUUGGCUAAUCUUUUGAACCGGCGCCGUGCUUGGGAUUGACCAUUGCAAUUGUUGGUCAUGCAACGAGGAAUGCCUUGUAAACGCGAGUCAUCAGCUCGCAUUGAAUACGUCCCUGCCCUUUGUACACACCGCCC
Molecule: ribosomal RNA, 1081 nt
Filed under: uncultured Rhizaria
Lineage: Eukaryota
Description: SSU rRNA
Rfam family: Eukaryotic small subunit ribosomal RNA
Source: RNAcentral